CAGAAAUUCGAUUGGAUUUACCUUCCAAAACGCGUCUCCAAUAUUAUAUAUUAUUAUUACGUCGUUUGCGAAUUUGCGAUUGAUUCGCGUUUCGUGAACAACAUUAUUAUAUAGGUGGUGUUCACGAAGGAUUUUUUUUAUAGGCCUACUUUUUGAGCAUAAAACCGGUUUCUGUUUAUACGUAUAUAGGGACUUAAAAACAGCAAACUCGGUUUACCGUUAUGUUCUGUUGGGGUAUGAAGAGGAGGAUACCUAGAAUCGUGUGUUUUCGAUUGUUUUUUUCGAAUUCGUUCUCGAAAAAAUACUGUAAAAUGGCCGGGGACAAGAAACCGUUUGGACGCCUACCAAAAUCUGUAAAACCAGUGUUAUAUGAUUUAUUUUUGAAGCCGGAUUUGCAAAAAUUCACAUUUGAAGGCAAAGAAACAAUUUCCAUUAACAUUCUGGAAUCAACCAAUAAAAUAAUUUUACAUGCAUUGGAUUUAAAAAUUGAAGAAGUCGAAUUAAAAGACAGUGAUGGAUUUAUUUCCAAACCUUCAGUUACACUAUCAGCGGAAGAUGAAACAGUCACUUUGGGAUUUGAUAAAGAACUACAAAUAGGCGAAGCAUUUUUAAAAUUUAUAUUUGUUGGUGAACUCAAUGAUAAAAUGAAAGGAUUUUACCGUAGUAAAUAUGUCAGUGUGAAUGAUAGCGGCAAUCAGGUUGAAUUCUACUCGGCUGUUAGCAUGUUGUGUUCAACUCAUGCACGUAGAAUGUUCCCUUGCUGGGAUGAACCAAAUCUGAAAGCUGUAUUUGAUAUAUCUGUAGCUGUGUGUAACACAUCUCACCGAGCUUUGUCUAAUAUGCCUGUGGUUUCUGAUACAACUGAAGAAAAUGGAGAUCGUUUACUUAAAUUUCAAAAAACUCCAAUUAUGUCUACUUAUUUGGUUGCCGUUGUAGUAGGAGAUUUUGAUUAUGUAGAGGACAAAGAUUCAGAUGGUGUUUUAGUGCGGGUCUAUACACCAAUUGGAAAAAGUGAACAAGGAAAAUUUGCCUUGGAAGUUGCUAAAUGUGCAUUACCUUACUACAAGGAUUAUUUCCAAGUAGCAUAUCCUUUACCAAAAAUGGAUUUAAUAGCUAUUGCUGAUUUCUCAUCUGGGGCUAUGGAAAAUUGGGGUUUAGUAACCUACAGAGAAUCAUGUCUCUUAGUUGAUCCAGACAAUACGUCAGCGGUUCGUAAACAAUGGAUAGCUUUAGUUGUUGGGCAUGAGUUGGCUCACCAAUGGUUUGGAAAUUUAGUUACAAUGGAGUGGUGGACACAUCUUUGGUUAAAUGAAGGAUACGCUUCGUUUGUGGAGUUCCUGUGUGUGGAACAUUUGUUCCCAGAAUAUGAUAUAUGGACACAAUUUGUCACAGACACAUAUAUUAGAGCACUUGAAUUGGAUGCUUUAAAUAGCAGUCAUCCCAUUGAAAUACCAGUAGGCCAUCCAUCUGAAAUUGAUGAGAUAUUUGAUGACAUUUCAUAUAACAAGGGUGCUUCAGUUAUCAGAAUGUUACAUAACUUUAUUGGAGAUCAAGAUUUCCGUAAAGGAAUGAAUCUGUAUUUGAAUAAACAUCAAUACAGCAAUACAUUUACUGAAGAUUUAUGGGCAGCCUUAGAAGAAGCCAGUAAUAAACCAGUUAAAGAUGUCAUGUCUACAUGGACAUUACAAAAAGGAUUCCCUGUAAUAACUGUUGAAAAAGAAACUCAAAAUCCUGAUGGAUCGAGGGUUAUUAGUGUAUCUCAAACUAAGUUUACUGCUAACGGACAAGUUGAUGGUGAUGGUAUUUUAUGGAUGGUUCCAUUAACAUUUUCUACAUCUCGAAAUCCAGAAAUUGUGUGUCAUAAAGAAAUAAUGUCUGAAAUUCAAAAGGAUAUAAUCAUUCCUGCUAAUGCAAUUUCACCAGGAGAAUGGGUUAAAGUAAACCCGAGUACUGUUGGAUAUUACAGAACUCGUUAUACACCUGAAUUACUUAAAAAUUUUGUACCAUCUAUAUCGUCAAGAACAUUACCACCUUUGGACCGUCUUGGAUUACUUGAUGAUCUCUUUGCUUUAGUUCAAGCUGGUCUCUCAAGUACAGAUGAAGUACUAAAUUUAAUGUUGGCUAUGACGGAUGAAGAUAAUUAUUCUGUUUGGUCGUCAAUGAGUAAUGUGCUUGGUAAAUUAGCUAUAUUAUUGUCUAAUGUUGAAGGAGAUACAGAACAAUUAUUUAAACAGUACAACAGAAUUCUUUUAAAAAAAAUAUCAUCAAAAUUGGGAUGGACUCCUCAGCCUAAUGAAAGUCACCUUGAAACAAUGCUGAGAGGUUUAGUAAUGGCUCGAUUGGUAUCUAGUGCUGAUCCUGAUGUUAUGUCUGAAGCUAAGAUAAAGUUUGCUAAUCACUUAAGUGGUAAAGAAACUAUUGUAGCUGAUUUGAGAAGUCCUAUUUAUAAAGCUUGUUUGUCAUCUGGUGAUGAGACCACUUUUAAUCAAUUAUUACAGCUCUAUAGAGGAACUGAUUUACACGAAGAAAAGGAUAGAAUAUGCAGAGCAAUGGGAGCAUCUAAAAAUAAAGAUAUAUUAAAAAAAGUGCUUGAUUUUGCAAUGUCUGAUGAAGUUCGUUCACAAGAUACAGUAUUUGUAAUAAUUUCUGUUGGUGGAUCUAAAGUUGGAAGAGAUUUAGCUUGGCAAUUCAUUCAAGACAACUGGUCAAAAUUAUUUAAUCAAUACCAGGGUGGUUUCUUGUUAACUCGUUUGGUGAAAAAUACAACAGAAAACUUUUCUUCUAUUGAAAAAGCUGAAGAAGUAGAGAAUUUCUUCAAGCAUAAUGGUUGUGUAGGUGCUGAAAGAACAAUUCAACAAGCUUGUGAAACUAUCCGAUUAAAUGCUGCGUGGUUAAAGAGAGACUAUGAAAAAUUACAAAAUUUCCUUCAUAAAGUCGUCCAAAAAUGACUUUAAUGUCUAAUGGCUUGCUCAACAAUGCUCAAUAACUGUUCCAGUUAGUCAAAAAAGCUCGACAUAAUACAAAGAAGAAGCAGCAUUUUAUUAACGGUUUUUCGUUAACCAAAGUCAUUUUGUUACAUUAAUGUAAAUUUUUAAUGGCAUAACCUAUCUUAUAUUGGGCAUAUAUUCUUUUUUUUUUCAUUAAUAUAAAUGUAUUCUUUA
RNA transcript from Metopolophium dirhodum (rose-grain aphid), 3161 nucleotides. It is a transcript of the gene named puromycin-sensitive aminopeptidase, with no coding region annotated. The record is from RefSeq and is a predicted model, not a curated record. Lineage: Eukaryota; Metazoa; Arthropoda; Insecta; Hemiptera; Aphididae. The transcript has 12 exons.